ACCUCUGCAAUAGGCGAAAGCUUGACAGGGUUACUCUGAGUGAUCCCCGCUAAGGGGGUCUUUUGACACCUCUAAAAAUGGUGUAGAAUAAGGGGUGGGCAAGUCUGGUGUCAGCCGCCGCGGUAAUACCAGCACCCCGAGUGGUCGGGACGAUUAUUGGGCCUAAAGCAUCCGUAGCCGGUCCUGCAAGUCUUCCGUUAAAUCCACCUGCUCAACAGUUGGGCUGCGGGGGAUACUACAGGGCUAGGAGGCGGGAGAGGCAAGCGGUACUCAGUGGGUAGGGGUAAAAUCCGCUGAUCCAUUGAAGACCACCAGUGGCGAAGGCGGCUUGCCAGAACGCGCUCGACGGUGAGGGAUGAAAGCUGGGGGAGCAAACCGGAUUAGAUACCCGGGUAGUCCCAGCUGUAAACGAUGCAGACUCGGUGAUGGGCUGGCUUUGAGCCAGCCCAGUGCCGCAGGGAAGCCGUUAAGUCUGCCGCCUGGGGAGUACGGUCGCAAGACUGAAACUUAA
This 511-nucleotide ribosomal RNA is filed under the name uncultured archaeon. RNAcentral describes it as "bacterial SSU rRNA". It matches the Rfam family "Archaeal small subunit ribosomal RNA", at positions 346 to 859 of the family's 1478-position model. The record is from RNAcentral.